AUGGCCGCCAGCGCCAACUGCAUGUCCACGAACCAACAUGUUGAUGACCAGCCUUCGCUACCACCAGCGAUCUCGCUAGCAUCCUCCGCACACCACCCUAACCGUGGACUCAGCUCCGAGGAGGAGAACCUCGCCUUAUCUCUGAUGAUGCUGGCUAGUGGCAUCCGUGACAAGCAUCCUGCAUCCCUCGACCAUGCUACAACACCGUCACUGCCUCUGCCACCACAGGUGGCAGAUGUUCCAGCGGGUGUAUCCCAGGGUGCGCCGGUGGCCAAAGCGACCAGCCAAACACCCGCUUCGGGGGUUGUGGUCGCUUCAAGGCAAGGUCCCACACAAGUGCCUUCACUGUCGCCAGUGGUCGCUAUCGGGCCAAAUCUGGUGCUGGAGCAGGUGGUUCCACCGAGCCAAGCGACAGACCUGGUGAUCGUGCCUCAACAAGCCCCUGGUCUGGCAUUGGCAUCCACCCAAGUGCGGCCGAUUGUCACGACGAACAAAGCACCAUUCAGCAAGCCCAACAAAGUACCCACACGGCCGAUCAAGCCCUGCAAAUCGCUCAAGACCGUGGCUGCGAUGACGGAGAACCAGACGCCACAACAGGAGAGCCAACAGCUGUUGCACGAGUGCCCGUUGUGUCUCAAGAGGUUCAAGAAGUCUCGGGGCCUUAAGGUGGCGUUUGGUUUGAAGGCGGGAUUGGCUGGGGAUACCCUUAACCAUGUGGUUGGGGAUACCCUUGAUUCUUGUUUGGUUGUAAGGAUUACAGAAUGA
Molecule: ribosomal RNA, 765 nt
Filed under: Triticum aestivum (bread wheat)
Lineage: Eukaryota; Viridiplantae; Streptophyta; Magnoliopsida; Poales; Poaceae
Description: partial small subunit ribosomal RNA
Source: RNAcentral